UAAACGACUCUCGGCAACGGAUAUCUCGGCUCACGCAUCGAUGAAGAACGUAGCAAAAUGCGAUACUUGGUGUGAAUUGCAGAAUCCCGUGAACCAUCGAGUUUUGAACGCAAGUGCGCCCGAAGCCUUCCGGCUAAGGGCACG
Molecule: ribosomal RNA, 144 nt
Filed under: Coreopsis lanceolata
Lineage: Eukaryota; Viridiplantae; Streptophyta; Magnoliopsida; Asterales; Asteraceae
Description: 5.8S ribosomal RNA
Rfam family: 5.8S ribosomal RNA
About the family: 5.8S ribosomal RNA (5.8S rRNA) is a component of the large subunit of the eukaryotic ribosome.
Source: RNAcentral